This 82-nucleotide transfer RNA is filed under the name Shewanella algae. Its description in RNAcentral is "tRNA-Ala". Lineage: Bacteria; Pseudomonadati; Pseudomonadota; Gammaproteobacteria; Alteromonadales; Shewanellaceae. The record is from RNAcentral.
CAGACUGCUGGAAGUGGAUUACUUCUCGGUCGGCUUGCGCCUGAUUGGCUUUCUGUUGAUGGUGCUGAGCCUUGCAGCCUUG